AUGAUGCAAGGAACUAAUGGCCAAGCUGCUGCUUCUGCUUCUUCUCCUAAAGGCAACUACUCUAUCUCAUCUUCUACUAGGCCAACUAUAGCAGAAAUUUAUGGUGGUAUUACACCAAAAGUACUUUUCAAUAAAGCUACUGCAAACAACAGCACUACUAAUAGUGAUCAAACUCAUCAAAGGCUUAAACAGCUGCAGGCAGAAGAAUCGCUUCGCACUGUCAUGUACUUGAGCUGCUGGGGUCCUAACACAUGA
This 255-nucleotide long non-coding RNA is filed under the name Prunus dulcis (almond). RNAcentral describes it as "sRNA ncRNA". The record is from RNAcentral. Lineage: Eukaryota; Viridiplantae; Streptophyta; Magnoliopsida; Rosales; Rosaceae.